RNAcentral lists this long non-coding RNA (822 nucleotides) under Heterocephalus glaber (naked mole-rat). RNAcentral describes it as "lncRNA (ENSHGLG00000050683.1)". Lineage: Eukaryota; Metazoa; Chordata; Mammalia; Rodentia; Bathyergidae. The record is from RNAcentral.
AAAGCAAAGCACAGAUCCUCAGCUCUGAAACUGCAGUUCAGACCUGAAGUCCCUGAAAUUCAUAGACUGUAUCACUUCUGCUCUCAGUGGACUAGAAUUGAAAAUACAGAUUCCUGUGUAAUUAAGAAUGGAAGAAUUUGAAUUGAAUCCACCCAACUGUGUCACUCUACAUAAAGAGAAGAUGAAUGGGGAAAAAAUAAGAACCAAGAUGCAUUAUAUAAAGGGAAGAACAUCUGCAUUCACUGGGAUCUUGAUCUGCAAGUAACAGAAAACCCAACUAACAGUAUUUUAUGACCAGUAGAGAUUUGUUAUCCAUAUAUCACAGUAAAUCUGAGGAUUAAUAGUACCUACCAUUAUUUUCCCCUUUCAACAAAAUCAUUAUGCUUGCCUACUUCCGCCUGGUGGCUUGGGGCUCUAUACUCACAUGGUACUUUCUAAAGUUCAAAUACUGCAUCUAUGUUUUAAGAAUGAAAAGGCAAAAGGACCAGAGGAAAAGGAGUGUACAAAAAUGAAUGUGUUACAUUUAGAGAUUUAAAAGCAUUCCAGAAAGCAUCACCACCUGACUACCAUUCAUAAUUCGCUGGACAGAAAAAGGCUUAGUGGUACAUGUACCAACUCUUCACAAGGAAUGUAAAUAUUAUGCAUAACAAACAUGUAAUAAAUAGAUAAAUAAAUAAAUAAAUAAAUGGAAAAAAGGCUUAGUCAUAAAACCCUGACUGGAUGGAAUGAAACCAGAAAGAAGAACAUUGUAUUGACCAAAAAAGUAUUGCAAAUGCCUUUGUUAAGCUAAUUAGUUAUGACCUGAGACAUUCCUUGAACUAU